This 794-nucleotide ribosomal RNA is filed under the name uncultured bacterium. RNAcentral describes it as "bacterial SSU rRNA". It matches the Rfam family "Bacterial small subunit ribosomal RNA", at positions 8 to 796 of the family's 1533-position model. The record is from RNAcentral.
AGAGUUUGAUCCUGGCUCAGAAUGAACGCUGGCGGCGUGCCUAACACAUGCAAGUCGAAUGUGCCGCAAGGUGCAUGGCAGACGGGUGAGUAACGCGUAGGGAAUCUACCUUUUAGUGGGGAAUAACGCUCCGAAAGGAGUGGUAAUACCGCAUGAGACCGUAGUCUGGGAUGACUACGGUGAAACCUGGGGACCGCAAGGCCUGGGGCUAAAAGAGGAUCCUGCGUCUGAUUAGCUAGUUGGCGGGGUAAUGGCCCACCAAGGCGACGAUCAGUAGCCGGCCUGAGAGGGUGAUCGGCCACACUGGAACUGAGACACGGUCCAGACUCCUACGGGAGGCAGCAGUGGGGAAUUUUGCGCAAUGGACGAAAGUCUGACGCAGCAACGCCGCGUGGGUGAUGAAGGUCUUCGGACUGUAAAACCCUGUCGUCAGGGACGAAGGUUGGGGGGUUAAUAGCCCUUUAGCUUGACGGUACCUGGAGAGGAAGCCCCGGCUAACUCUGUGCCAGCAGCCGCGGUAAUACAGAGGGGGCAAGCGUUAUUCGGAAUUAUUGGGCGUAAAGGGCGCGUAGGCGGUUUGCUAAGUCAGAUGUGAAAGCCCAUGGCUCAACCAUGGACGUGCAUUUGAAACUGGCAGACUUGAGUAUUGGAGGGGGUGGUGGAAUUCCCGGUGUAGAGGUGAAAUUCGUAGAGAUGUGGAGGAAUACCAGUGGCGAAGGCGGCCACCUGGACAGUAACUGACGCUGAGGCGCGAAAGUGUGGGUAGCAAACAGGAUUAGAUACCCUGGUAGUCC